Molecule: ribosomal RNA, 460 nt
Filed under: uncultured bacterium
Lineage: Bacteria
Description: partial 16S ribosomal RNA
Rfam family: Bacterial small subunit ribosomal RNA
Source: RNAcentral
CCUACGGGAGGCAGCAGUGAGGAAUAUUGGUCAAUGGCCGGAAGGCUGAACCAGCCAUGCCGCGUGAAGGUCAGUGCCCUAUGGGCGUUAAACUUCUUUUGUGCGGGAGCAAUAAUGGGCACGUGUGGCCAGACGAGAGUACCGUACGAAUAAGCAUCGGCUAACUCCGUGACAGUAGCCGGGGUAAGAAGGGGGAUGCAAGAGUUAUCCGGAUUUAUUGGGUUUAAAGGGUGCGUUGGGUGGGAGGUAAGGCAGCGGUGAAAUGCCUCCGCUCAACGGGGUGAAGUGCCAUUGAUACUGCCGGGCUGGAAUGCGGAUGCGGUGGGAGGAAUGUGUGGUGUAGCGGUGAAAUGCAUAGAUAUCACACAGAACACCGAUUGCGAAGGCAUCUCACGAAUCCGCGAUUGACGCUGAUGCACGAAAGCGUGGGUAUCAAACAGGAUUAGAUACCCUUGUAGUC